CCUGCAAAACGAAUCUAAGUUCCCCCUUAACCCUCUUUUUCCCCCCCAGACAAACCCAACCCAAAUGUGAUAGUUAAGGGCUAUUUAAAGGGGGUACAGCCCCUUUAAAAAAGGACACAACCUCCACCAGCGGAUAACCCCUGUACGCCCAACCCCGUGGGCCUUAAAGCAGCCACCCCCAAAGAUUGCGUCAAAGCUCCAUCAACCAAAAACCCCCAAAACCAAUGCGACUCCCUACACCCACAGCAGGCCAACCUAUAACAAUAGAUGAGUCAAUGCUAGAACGAGUAACCAGGACACUACGUCCCCCUAAGCGCCAGCCUGUAUACCAUUAACAGUAAAACCUCAAUAAUAACCACCCCCACCAUUGAACCCACCCUGUCAACCCAACUCAGGGGCGCACACUGGAGUGAUCAAAAUCUACAAAAGGAACUCGGCAAACCUAAGACCCGACUGUUUACCAAAAACAUAGCCUUCAGCCAAACAAGUAUUGAAGGUGAUGCCUGCCCAGUGACACCAUGUUUAACGGCCGCGGUA
Molecule: ribosomal RNA, 537 nt
Filed under: Ara macao (Scarlet macaw)
Lineage: Eukaryota; Metazoa; Chordata; Aves; Psittaciformes; Psittacidae
Description: partial 16S large subunit ribosomal RNA
Source: RNAcentral